AGGUGAAAUCUUGCAGCUCAACUGUAAAAUUGCCUUUGAAACUGGUUAUCUUGAGUUAUUAUGAAGUAGUUAGAAUAUGUAGUGUAGCGGUGAAAUGCAUAGAUAUUACAUAGAAUACCAAUUGCGAAGGCAGAUUACUAAUAAUCAACUGACACUGAUGGACGAAAGCGUGGGUAGCGAACAGGAUUAGAUACCCUGGUAGUCCACGCCGUAAACGAUGGUUACUAGCUGUUUGGACUUCGGUCUGAGUGGCUAAGCGAAAGUGAUAAGUAACCCACCUGGGGAGUACGUUCGCAAGAAUGAAACUCAAAGGAAUUGACGGGGGCCCGCACAAGCGGUGGAGCAUGUGGUUUAAUUCGAUGA
RNAcentral lists this ribosomal RNA (363 nucleotides) under uncultured Bacteroidota bacterium. RNAcentral's name for it is "bacterial SSU rRNA". It matches the Rfam family "Bacterial small subunit ribosomal RNA", at positions 592 to 957 of the family's 1533-position model. Lineage: Bacteria; Pseudomonadati; Bacteroidota. The record is from RNAcentral.